This 503-nucleotide ribosomal RNA is filed under the name uncultured bacterium. Its description in RNAcentral is "bacterial SSU rRNA". It matches the Rfam family "Bacterial small subunit ribosomal RNA", at positions 30 to 529 of the family's 1533-position model. The record is from RNAcentral.
AUUGAACGCUGGCGGAAUGCUUUACACAUGCAAGUCGAACGGUAGAGGGGGGCAACCCCUUGAGAGUGGCGAACGGGUGAGUAAUAUAUCGGAACGUGCCCAGUCGUGGGGAUAACGUAGCGAAAGUUACGCUAAUACCGCAUACGAUCUAAGGAUGAAAGCGGGGGAUCGCAAGACCUCGCGCGAUUGGAGCGGCCGAUAUCAGAUUAGGUAGUUGGUGAGGUAAAGGCUCACCAAGCCAACGAUCUGUAGCUGGUCUGAGAGGACGACCAGCCACACUGGGACUGAGACACGGUCCAGACUCCUACGGGAGGCAGCAGUGGGGAAUUUUGGACAAUGGACGCAAGUCUGAUCCAGCCAUUCCGCGUGCAGGAUGAAGGCCCUCGGGUUGUAAACUGCUUUUGUACGGAACGAAAAGGUUCUAUUAAUACUAGGAGCUCAUGACGGUACCGUAAGAAUAAGACACCGGCUAAACUACGUAGCCAGCAGCCGCGGUAAACGUA